CCCCUCCGGUUCCCUUUCCCAUCGGAUCUGAACACUGGUCUUGGUGGUCGUAUACGGAGGAACAGUGAUACUGAAGCUGGUUCACAGGGCUUUUCGUCAGCCGUGUAGUGUGUGGAUUAGUUUCGAACAAGU
Talpa occidentalis (Iberian mole) is the source of this 132-nucleotide small nucleolar RNA. RefSeq annotates it as small nucleolar RNA SNORA61. The transcript has a single exon. The record is from RefSeq and is a predicted model, not a curated record. NCBI's taxonomy places the organism in Eukaryota, Metazoa, Chordata, Mammalia, Eulipotyphla, Talpidae.